RNA transcript from Hydra vulgaris (swiftwater hydra), 1930 nucleotides. It is a transcript of the gene named germ cell-less protein-like 1, with no coding region annotated. The record is from RefSeq and is a predicted model, not a curated record. NCBI's taxonomy places the organism in Eukaryota, Metazoa, Cnidaria, Hydrozoa, Anthoathecata, Hydridae.
UUUAGUUUAAUUUAAAGUCAAUUGUAAUUGUCCCAUUUUGUCAAAAAUACUUACAGUAUUGAAAUGUGAGAGUUAUGGGUAAUCUUUUACAUGUUGGUGUUCCUGAUGUUGAAAAAGACGUGCAACAAAGUAGAAAAAGAAAAUUUAUAGAAGGAGAAGAAGAAAUUCAAGAAAAAUUUUCACCAUCACGAAAAAAAUUACAAACAACUUCAGAGUAUAUAUAUAAAACUCUUUACAUCAAUGGAGAGAAUAGUGAUAUCACAAUUGAUGCUCUUGGAAAAUCUUGGAAUCUUCAUAAAGUUUAUCUUUGUCAGUCUCUUUACUUCAAGAGCAUGUUUAAAGGGGAUUGGUCAGAAAAAGAUCAAACUGUCAUCAAACUAACUUUUCCUGAUAGCUUUAUAACUUCAAAAGCAUUAGAUAUCGUGUUCGGAAGCAUGUACCGCUAUGAAGUUGAUGUUGAAGUUUUGAUUGCAAAUUUGAUUCCAGUAAUUGCUGCUGCACGUAUGUUUGACUUGGGUGGUUUGCUAAAGCACUGUGAAGACACUGUAUUGGAGACUAUAAAUGCAGAAAAUGUAUGCAUUUAUUAUGAUGCCUCUCAGAGAUAUGGGUUGACAGAAGUCAGCAAGAAAUGUUUUUCUUGGCUUGAAAGAAAUAUGCUGCUGUGCAAAACUUUAACUCUGGCAAAAUAUUUAACUAAAGAACUCCUAAUAAACUUACUCCAAUCACCAAAUCUUGCUGUGAUGCAAGUUGAGAUGGAUAUUUAUAAUUUCUUAAAAAUAUGGUUAUAUUUUCAAAUGUGUAACGAGCACUCAGAAGUUUCUUGCCCAAAAAGUUUGAUUACAGACACACAAAAGUACUUCCAAUGCAUGCAAAAAAAAACGAAAACCUGUUUUCUGUCAAGUGAAGAGGGUCUACAAUAUGCUGAUGUUUUUAAAUGCUUGAGAUUUGAAAAUAUGUUAGGAGAUGCUAAAUGUAUUUUACUGCUGGAGAAAGAUGCUAUAGUUCCUCAAAAUUGGUUAAUGCCUGUCUACCAAUCACAAUGGAAGUCAAUGUUAUCUGUAUAUAAUGGAGAAGAUACUGGUCCUAAACAAAUAGUUGAAGAUUUAUUUUACAAGCAAGCAUGUCGUUGUGGUAGGAUCCUUGAAACUGAUACAAGGUACUGCUGGCGAUGGACAAAUGAUAAUAAUCAUUUAUUAAAUUUUAUAGUACUGCUGGCGAUGGACAGGUCUUUUUUCAUUUGGUAUUGAUAUUAUACUUAUUUAUAAUAACAGAACUAAAAUUUUAUCUGUAAAAAGAAAUACGUAUAGUCAACCAUGUAACUUUGCUGUUUGCCUUCAAAGUCAAAGAGCAGUCGUAUUAAGGCUGAAGGCAUUUACUAUAAAAACCAACGGAGAAGAACUCAAAGCGUUAGAUACUGGUAUUCUUUUGUGGAAUUUCCAUACCGAUGAAGAAUUGCCAUUAUUAACUUUAGAUGAUACUUGGACUUUUCCCGUUUUUGUUAGCACUAGAUUUCUCCUUUCGAAUAGCUCAUAAUUUUUUUAUCUCAACGGAAAAUAUUUUUGUUGUUUUAAACGUUACCAAGGUUACUCUGGCACCUUUUUAUUGUUUAUAAUUAAAAAUCUAUCGUAAUCUGAAGUCCCAUUAUACAUUUUGAAUCGAAUGAAAUUUUAAAUUUCAAUAUAUUUUUGCAGUAUUUGUGACUGACUUUUUAGUUAAUUUAGCUUUCAAUUUUUACAAUUAUUUUGUUUAUCAACAGAUUUAGCUAUACCAUAUAAAGCUUAGAAAUUAUUAGAUAGGUUGUUUUUUUAUGGUACAGUCCGUGUGCUUUUGGGCAACUGAUUCGCGCUCUUAACUGAUUUUCUGACAAAUUAUGACAGUUAUUUUGUAUAUACCACAAAGUCAAAAAGUUUAAUAAAGUACAUUAAAUUAA